This 449-nucleotide long non-coding RNA is filed under the name Danio rerio (zebrafish). RNAcentral's name for it is "si:dkey-92f12.3 (ENSDARG00000094064.3)". Lineage: Eukaryota; Metazoa; Chordata; Actinopteri; Cypriniformes; Danionidae. The record is from RNAcentral.
GAAAAACUCCCAAAGAACGGAGACGUUUUGUUGUUAUUUGUAUUUUGCUUCUGCUGACCGCCUUCAAAAAUCCUCAAUAAAGUCUCAACUCCAUCGUCGCGGUAAAUCCUCUCUGUGUCAAGUCCGCCAACGUACAUAGUGAGCUUCUGAACAAACUGGUAGCAGCCGAAAGCUGUCCAUACAGAGGGGGAGUGCUGGUAACAACAACAACAUGGGGUGCAGGACGAGACGAAAACGGGAACCAGUACCAUAUCCCUGCAACAGAAUUUCAGCUGGCUCUUGUGCUCUGGUGGCUCAGGCUUUGGCCAAAACAUCUUUACAGAAGGAAUAUUUAAUUGGUCUGGAUUCUCUCUUCUUCUCAUCAUGCUGUCCCAGCCAGCCCUAUCAUGCUCUCUUUGCAUGAGAUGUCUCCCCCUUCGGGCUUCAUAAAUAAACCAGUACUGGAAUGG